CCUACGGGAGGCAGCAGUAGGGAAUAUUGCUCAAUGGGGGAAACCCUGAAGCAGCAACGCCGCGUGGAGGAUGAAGGUUUUCGGAUUGUAAACUCCUUUUGUUAGAGAAGAUAAUGACGGUAUCUAACGAAUAAGCACCGGCUAACUCCGUGCCAGCAGCCGCGGUAAUACGGAGGGUGCAAGCGUUACUCGGAAUCACUGGGCGUAAAGGGCGCGUAGGCGGGAUAGCAAGUCAGAUGUGAAAUCCUAUGGCUUAACCAUAGAACUGCAUUUGAAACUGUUAUUCUAGAGUAUGGGAGAGGUAGGUGGAAUUCUUGGUGUAGGGGUGAAAUCCGUAGAGAUCAAGAGGAAUACUCAUUGCGAAGGCGACCUGCUAGAACAUAACUGACGCUGAUGCGCGAAAGCGUGGGGAGCAAACAGGAUUAGAUACCCGAGUAGUC
RNAcentral lists this ribosomal RNA (440 nucleotides) under uncultured bacterium. Its description in RNAcentral is "partial 16S ribosomal RNA". It matches the Rfam family "Bacterial small subunit ribosomal RNA", at positions 338 to 795 of the family's 1533-position model. The record is from RNAcentral.